This 253-nucleotide ribosomal RNA is filed under the name uncultured bacterium. Its description in RNAcentral is "partial 16S ribosomal RNA". It matches the Rfam family "Bacterial small subunit ribosomal RNA", at positions 524 to 776 of the family's 1533-position model. The record is from RNAcentral.
UACGUAGGGUGCGAGCGUUAAUCGGAAUUACUGGGCGUAAAGCGUGCGCAGGCGGUUUUUUAAGCCAGAUGUGAAAGCCCCGGGCUUAACCUGGGAAUGGCAUUUGGGACUGGAAGGCUAGAGUGCGGCAGAGGGGGGUGGAAUUCCUGGUGUAGCAGUGAAAUGCGUAGAGAUCAGGAGGAACACCGAUGGCGAAGGCAGCCCCCUGGGCCAGCACUGACGCUCAGGCACGAAAGCGUGGGGAGCAAACAGG